Molecule: ribosomal RNA, 468 nt
Filed under: uncultured bacterium
Lineage: Bacteria
Description: partial 16S ribosomal RNA
Rfam family: Bacterial small subunit ribosomal RNA
Source: RNAcentral
GACGAACGCUGGCGGCGUGCUUAACACAUGCAAGUCGAACGGAAAGGCCCUGCUUUUGUGUGGUGCUCGCGUGGCGAACGGGUGAGUAACACGUGAGUAACCUGCCCUUGACUUUGGGAUAACUUCAGGAAACUGGGGCUAAUACAUGCUAGGAGCUCCUGCUGCAUGGUGGGGGUUGGAAAGUUUCGGCGGUUGGGGAUGGACUCGCGGCUUAUCAGCUUGUUGGUGGGGUAGUGGCUUACCAAGGCUUUGACGGGUAGCCGGCCUGAGAGGGUGACCGGCGACAUUGGGACUGAGAGACGGCCCAGACUCCUACGGGAGGCAGCAGUGGGGAGUAUUGCACAAUGGGCGGAAGCCUGAUGCAGCAACGCCGCGUGCGGGAUGACGGCCUUCGGGUUGUAAACCGCUUUCGCCUGUGACGAAGCGUGAGUGACGGUAAUGGGUAAAGAAGCACCGGCUAACUACGUG